Sus scrofa (pig) is the source of this 1502-nucleotide non-coding RNA. Lineage: Eukaryota; Metazoa; Chordata; Mammalia; Artiodactyla; Suidae. The record is from RefSeq and is a predicted model, not a curated record.
AACCUUGCCCCAGAAAGGAGCAAGAUGGGGUGAGGGGACCUGCAUUUUGUGUAAAUUCUCCAGGCAAUUCUGAAACUGCCCAGGCUGAUAGACCAGAGGUGCAACGUGGAGCGUGCCUUCUUCAUCCUUGACGGGAAGUGAGCUGGAGACAGAGCUGCGGAAAUAAAUACAGGAUGCCGUGUGAAACUUGAAUUCCAGGAAGUUAUCAAAAAAGAAAAAUAAUAACGUAAGACAUGCUAGAGCAAGACAGGAGCAAGAAGCACUGACGCCAUGCAGAGGCCACUUCCAUCUCGUCAAGUCCUCAGAUGUAAAGCUGCCAUCCAAAAAUAGAGAGAGCAAUGGUGCUCCCUUCAUGAACAUCCUGAAACAAUCCCAGGAUUUGGGUUUUGUGGUGGUUUCCUCAGUUCCUCCCAUUUUUAACCCAAAUGGAUCUCAUGAAGCUGGUUCCUGAGGCAGUAGCAAAACAGCUUUCUUUAUGUCACAAAACUUUCUGGAAGUUUGCGACUUCAAAGUGGAAUCUGUGGUGGGGCAGUGGUAUCAGAGCACACUGCAGGAACAUGCAGGAGAGGCUGGCAUCCCAUGAGCCUCCCCUUUCAUCCUUAAGCACACACCUGCACAUCUUGUUUAGUUGUAGAAAAGUUACUCUAAACCAGAGAGAAAUCUACCCACUAUUAGAUCAUGCAGUGAUCCAGUCAGUGUCUGUUAAGCGCUAACAACAUGGCCACCACUUUGUAGGGUGCAGUGAUGUGGUGGAGACAGAGACACCAUGCUUCCUGUCAUUUGUAGUCCCGGACUAUGUCCUGGACUGUGUCCUUUAUAGUCCAGCAAUGCCUGGAGUAAUACCUGAUUUGUAAAGAGGCAGAAACUUGGUUUUGGUGGAUUUGACUCUCAGGAAGGGAGACAGUAACCUUUGGAUUUUUCUUCCCUUCUGUUUUCUAUAUCUGUGCUUUCUACCAACUUAUCCUCCUAGGACUCUAACUCAAACCAAUUAUUUCAUGCGUGUGUUGCAGAAACCAGUAGUAAUCUACAAAUUGACCCUAAUACCCUUUUUUUUGGGUGGGUGAAAUUAUAUAAUAUGCUAAAUUCCUAGAGUUUUGGUUCUGCUUUGUUGUCUCUGAAUGUCCUAUGAACUACGAAUUAGAAAAAAACAGAAGGAAAACAAAUUUGAAAUCCCAGUAGGACUGUUCGGGUAGCUGGGUGGUCUGGAUCACAUGUGUUCCCAAUUCUGUUCUGAGCUGUUCCACUGAUUCGCGGACGUUGAGACACUCUGUCUUGUGUCAACCUGGCCAUUGUAAACCAAAGGGUCCUGGCCAAACAUGGCCAACAGUCUAGUGCAGAAUAAUGAUAUCUCCCUAAAAGGAGAUGUCAACCAAUGUUAGAUGUAAACCAAUGUUAACCGUGGUUUCCAUGACUAAUUGAGAAGAAGGAAUAUGAGGUUUAAAUGCUGGUUCCAGCAUCUUCUAGCUAUAUGACCAUGAGAACUUGGGCAAGUUAAUAUAACA